GGAGACGAAGAAGUAAGAGGAGGAGGAGGACGAGGAGGAGGAGAGAAGAAUGCAUUCUCCUUCAAGAAGUGUUCUGCUUUUCAGUUUGUGAAGAGAAAGGUCAGGAAGUGGAAGAUGUUGAGCCGUCACCACGGUGAUGCUAAGCAGAAGGAGGCGGAGUCUGAGGUGCACCUUGGGGGCGGACCAUGGGGGGUGAGAACCAACCACCAGCUGGCUAGCCCUGUCCUGCUGGAGUGCUGUGUCUGCAGUGGACCCUUCGUUAGCUACGCUCUGGAAGAGGCCUGGCAGCCACGGCAACGCACACAGGCGAUGGAUCUGUACUACCAUAGUGAACCAGACCCAGAGUACUACUGCUGUCGC
Molecule: long non-coding RNA, 360 nt
Organism: Oncorhynchus tshawytscha (Chinook salmon)
Lineage: Eukaryota; Metazoa; Chordata; Actinopteri; Salmoniformes; Salmonidae
Source: Ensembl